Molecule: long non-coding RNA, 2170 nt
Filed under: Mustela putorius furo (domestic ferret)
Lineage: Eukaryota; Metazoa; Chordata; Mammalia; Carnivora; Mustelidae
Description: lncRNA (ENSMPUG00000026823.1)
Source: RNAcentral
GGAUUUGAAAGCAGAUUUAAAUGGGUCUCACUGCAAAAAGCCUGACAUAGUCAAUUUCUGGGUCCAUACUGAAAUACCGGUUGCUUUGGCGAUCUCAGUUAGAUACCGUGGUUGAAAGCAUGCAGGUUCUAGGCAGUGCCUCUCCUAGAUGCAAGCAUGUUGGAAUCUCUAGUACUAAGGGGCUUUCAGUUUGAAAGAUGAAAAAAAUCUACUAUUUUCAUGAUAGUAUAAUAGACACUUUUGGGGACCUACCCAGAUUCUCUUUAUCAAAUUGGUGUUCUUAUCCUACAGGUGUUCCUGAUGGCUCAUAUCUGACACUUCUCUUCAAAAUUACCAUCAGCAAGAGCCUACUUAUUGUGAAAUGCUUGGCAGGUUAUACCAUCACCUCUUCUCUGGGAAUAACUACAUCCAAUCCCUGAUACUGGGGCACACAAGGCUGUUUCCUUCUUCAAGGCAGAGCUCACUGACAGUAGAUGGGUUUGGCUGCUACUUCUUCCUGAAGCUCAGCAGCCCUUGUGGAAGACUGCCAUCACCGUGGAUAUCACUGCAGUCUUCACAUUGCUCAAUACAGAGCCCUAAGUGACGCCACUGCCAGUGAAGGAGACAGGAAGAGGAUGAGGGAAGCGAGGAGAGUCUCAAUCUACCAGGUGACUCAGAAAGACCUUUUCCUAAUGUUCAGAAAAAUGUUUGGAGUUCAAAAUGUCUAUAUAAAGGAGUCCAAUCUGUUCUUGAGUUUCAGUGAUGGCCCAGUCUACCAAAAAAAUUGAAGAAAAAUUUACUCUGACCAGUACAAAAUUUGCUUCUAGCAGAGGAGAAAAAAUGAGGACUGGGAAAGAGAAGCAAAAAAGUGGGAGCCAGGAUUGUGCUUGGCAUUACUCACAGUGAUUGGGAAAGUUGUUCUCAUUUGCUUAUGGACUGAUGAAGUCAAGCCAUUGCUCCUGGAGGUUCUUCACUGUCAAUAAUGUACAUUGCUUUGGGAGGGAAAAAAUACAAAGUCUCAGGCAAAACCUACUCUACCUGAUAUAUUUCUUUCUGUAUAAAAGGAGAGUUUAGCUAAAGAAUUGACAAUUACUAAGGUUUCAGAAUUUUUUUUUUCAUUUCAGUUUUAUUUUAGACUAGAACAGAUAUUUCUGACUCUGACAUAGUUGAUGGAAAUGAGAAACAUUUCUAUUUCUCUGUGUCUUAUUAUCUCUUAUAUGCAAGGUUUACUGGGUUGAUCUUCCUGUUUCUUCCACAUCUUGACUGGCUCUCUCUCUCUCUCUUUAAAGAUUUAUUUAUUUGGGAGAGAGAGAAAGGGAGAUCGCACAAGUGGGAAUGUAGAAGGAGAGAGAGAAUCUCAAGUAGGCUCCAUGCUGAGCACAGAGCCUGUGAGGCUUCAUCCCAGGACCCUGAGAUCUUGACCUGAGCCAAAACCAAAAGUCAGAUGCUUAGCUAACUGUGCCACCCAAGCAUACGUUGACUCGCUCUUUUACAGUGUAGAUCUUACUCUACUUUCUGCCAUCCCUACUUUUUCCAGUAUUUAAAUAUUCAACUUUCUUAUCUAUUCUAGACUUUCCACUCUUUCCAUGUAAGCAAGUUAUAUCCAUUCUCUCCCUUGCAUUUGAUAUAGGGGAUUCCAACAGCACUAUGUGUCUCAGCAAAAUUACAAAAGCCAAGAAUUGUUGUUAUUUUUAUUUUUGUUCCAUAUAUAUAUAGAGAGUGUGGGUAGCAAUAUUUGCUUUUAAUAGAAAAGGUCUGGAGCAAGUUACUUGUUAAUGACUACAACUUAAUGGUUAUAUGAUUUAAAUAAGAUAUUUGUGGCAUAACACUAGGAUGCUUUUAUUUAAAUUACUAAAUAUAAUAGGUUAAUUUUCAUAUGUCACAUUUUAAAAUGUCUACUUCUUAUUUAAAAAUGAUCAAUUUAUUCUCACUUUUUUGAAAACUUCUUUUUGAAUAGUUUGACUUUUGUUACCAAAUGAAAAACCAGUUCUAAUAGAAAUUUGAUUCAGUUUUUUUGUUGUCGUUGUUCUUUGGUGGGGGCAGGGGAGGGGCAGUAGGAGAGGGAGAGAGAAUCUUUUUUUUUUUUUUUUAAAGAUUUUAUUUUAUUUAUUUAUUUGACAGGCAGAGAGGCAGGCAGAGAGAGAGGAAGGGAAGCAGGCCCCCCUGCCGAGCAGAGAGCCCGACACGGGGC